GCGCACACACACAGACACAGACACACACACACACACACACACACACACACACACACACACACACACACACACACACACACACACACACACACACACACACACACACACCAUCCCCUGUAGCGUGGAACUGACAGGCUGAGCCUUGGAUGUUGGAUGGCUGUGAGAUUCUGACUGUGGUGAUGUUCAACUGAGCCCUCACCUAAUGAGCCCGGAGUGUGUGUGUGAUCGUCAGUGUGUGUGUUCGUCAGUGUGUGUGUUCGUCAGUGUGUAUGUGUGUGUGUGUGUGUUUUCGUCAGUGUGUGUUAGUGUGUUUGUCAGUGUGUGUGUGUUCGUCAGUGUGUGUGUGUGUUCGUCAGUGUGUGUGUGUGUGUGUGUGUCAGUGUGUGUGUGUGUCAGUGUGUUCAUCAAUGUGUGUGUGUGUGUUCGUCAGGGUGUGUGUGUGUGUGGUAGUCUGUUUGUGUGCGUGUGUGUGUUCGUCAGUGUGUGUGUGUCUGUGUGUGUGUGUGUUCGUCAGUGUGUGUGUGUUCGUCAGUGUGUGUGUGUGUGUGUGUGUUCGUCAGUGUGUGUGUGUGUGUGUGUGUUCAUGUUCGUCAGUGUGUGUUUGUGUGUGUGUCAGUGUGUGUGUGUGUGUGUCAGUGUGUUCGUCAGUGUGUGUGUGUGUGUGUGUGUGUGUGUGUGUGUGUGUGUUCGUCAGUGUGUGUGUGUGUGGGUGUGUGUGUGUGUUCGUCAGUGUGUGUGUGUUUGUCAGUGUGUGUGUGUGUUCGUCAGUGUGUUCGUCAGUGUGUGUGUGUGUGUCAGUGUGUGUGUGUGUGUGUCAGUGUGUUCGUCAGUGUGUGUGUGUGUGUGUGUGUUCGUCAGUGUGUGUGUUUGUGUUCGUCAGUGUGUGUGUGUUCGUCAGUGUGUGUGUGUAUGUUCGUCAGUGUGUGUGUGUGUUUGUUCGUCAGUGUGUGUGUGUGUGUGUGUGUUCGUCAGUGUGUGUGUGUGUGUGUGUGUGUCAGUGUGUUCGUCAGUGUGUGUGUAUGUGUGUGUGUGUGUGUGUGUGUGUGUGUAUGUGUGGUCGUCAGUGUGUCAGCUGUGUGUCACCUGGUUCGUCAGCAGCCUCCAA
This 1105-nucleotide long non-coding RNA is filed under the name Salmo trutta (river trout). RNAcentral describes it as "lncRNA (ENSSTUG00000044363.1)". Lineage: Eukaryota; Metazoa; Chordata; Actinopteri; Salmoniformes; Salmonidae. The record is from RNAcentral.